UCAGAUGUUUUGUAGUAGAUGUUUUUCAGAGGGAUUCACGGACAUCCCAGAUCAUCCAUAGAGAGUAUAUUAAUGGGUUAGGAGCAUUUUAGAUUAAAAUGGAAGCUUACGUACUAUUUUGCCAAUUUAAGAAUAGCCAAGGAUUAACUUUUUCCCUUUUUUUGUUUGUUUUUGGAGAUAGGGUCUCACUAUUUUGCCAGGCUGGCCUCAACCUUGCGGCAAUCCUUCUGCCUCAGCCUCCUGAAGCUGCGUGCUGGGAUUACAGGCAUAUGUCACCACAGGUCUCUCUUCUUAAAAGGAAGCACAUCUACAAUAUGAGGGGCUGUUGUAGAAAUUAAGAGUGCAAAGAGAAUUUUUAUGGGGGUUAGAAGAUGUUUGGAAGAGUUGAACCAUAUGUGAUUGCAGUCGUUGUAGAUGAUAAAUGAAGACUAAAAGAAGUAAAGUGAUGGGCCAGGGAAUUAGCUUAGUGGUUCUGCCGCCUGCCUCGCAAGGUCCUGAGUUUGAUUCCCUGAACCAAAAAAGAAAGAAGUAAAGUGACAAUUACUAAUUUCUUAUGUAUGUUGUGCAAGUCGACUGCCUGGAGACAAGUACUUUUAAACAUCAGUGAUCCUGUUGACCCAAGAUGCUGCCGCACCAUCGCUGGGGUACAUCAUCGCUUUAGGGGAAGAAAAUACAAUUCUAGAUCAAAGUUUAUUUUUGUGUAUCAGCCGAAUGUGUAUCGCAGCAGUUAAACUUCAGAUUCUUACAGUUGGGGAGGAUGGGACGCCGAAGACCAAGCACCCGCCCUCUGUGUGGUACCAGGUGAGGAUUUGCUGUCUGCUUCUGAGGUGGCUCCUGGCUGCUGUGUCCCCUGAGCAGAGAGACUGCUGCGUCUUCAUGCCACAGAAGACACUCAAGGAAAAAGCUCACCUCUGCAAGUCCUUUCUAAGGUGAUGAUUCUGUCCAUGAGGGCUUUGCCCUUGUGGCUUAACCUCUUCCUAAAUGUCACAGCUCUUAAUAAGUUUCAACAAGUCAAUUUUUUGGCCUUUCAAGACCUUGGCUACAAUGAACUCAAUUCGUUUUGUAAGAGACUGUGUAAACUAGAAG
Heterocephalus glaber (naked mole-rat) is the source of this 1086-nucleotide non-coding RNA. The record is from RefSeq and is a predicted model, not a curated record. NCBI's taxonomy places the organism in Eukaryota, Metazoa, Chordata, Mammalia, Rodentia, Bathyergidae.